Molecule: long non-coding RNA, 2348 nt
Organism: Raphanus sativus (radish)
Lineage: Eukaryota; Viridiplantae; Streptophyta; Magnoliopsida; Brassicales; Brassicaceae
Exons: 7
Source: RefSeq, a predicted model, not a curated record
UACCCAUCGUCGUAUCAUCUUCUUCAUCUCACCAUUCCCGUCGCAUUUUCCCCUUUCACCUCCUCCAUAACGUCGGUCUCUCACUUUAUGAUUCACAAAUCCUCAUACAUUCAAUUCACUAUGAUAAUCAAUGGCUAUCGAACUCUUGCACUUUCCACAAAUUUAGAACUGCAUAUAUAUAUAUAUCUCCUCCCCUAUUGAUGAAACAGUCAUGUUCAUCAGAGAUAUCUCCCUAAAUCGGACUAAUCGGUCAUGUCUUGAAUGCAUAGUGUCUGAGAUAUGUUGGAGCUUCGCCCUGGAGUCCUUCGUUGCCGUGUUAUCGACAUUGAAGCUCUGAAUCAGCCUAAAACAAGAAACAGAGGAAGAGUAAUGGCAACAUGGAAUCCAGUGGAGUAACAGAAGCAGCCACUGCCGUGGAGAGACAAAGGCCAAGCUGCUUGAGUUCUUCGUACACUCUCUUCACGGAUUUGUGAAAUGUGAAUGAUUUUUGAAAUGCGAAUUGGUUCUACCAAGAAUGUGAUCGUGGGUUUUGUGAAGUUAUAGACAAGGAAGAACAAAAGAAAAAGUUCUUUUUUGUGUGGAUUGGUGAAGUAGCUAAGAGAGGUAGAUAUGUUUAUAUGAGAUACUUGAGCUUGCUAUAUCUCAGCCAGCUCUCGACAUGCCUGAACUGUUAUGGAAGGCAUACAUAGGACAAGGGUUUAUAUGAGAUACUCUUGGACUGCACAAAGCACUAGAAGGUGUGGGUUAGUUUUGCAAAAUUUGAAGCUUCUGCUGCAGAACAAGAAGAAGACUAAAAAGAGGAAGAACAAGAAGAAACAGAUGCUAUUGAACGCAAGAAAGAGUGCAUCAGACAUGCCAGAGAGAUUUUCGAGAGAGUCAACAGCUACUACAAAGACUCUGCAGCAGAGUUGAAAGAGUAAAGAGCUUCACUAUUGGAGGAUUGGCUUAACAUGGAGACAAACUUUGGUAAUCUCGGGGAUGUGAGUGUGGUACAAUCUUAGCUCCCGAAGAGGCUCAAGAAGAGAAAACGAAUCACCUGAGAAGAUGGCUCUAUAGAGAUCUUCACGAGAAGCAUGAGAGCUGGCUCCUCCCAUUUGAGGGUGGGAACCAUGGCAUACUGUCUGUUAGCGAACCGUCUUUACAUAUGGAUAACACUCUGCAUCCUGACAUUAAAGACCGUGUCUUUUACUUAGAAGGAAACCAUAUGCAUUCCAGCAUACAUAAGGUCCCUGCUUUGGUUUCAGACUGUCAACCAAAUAUUACAGCAGCAGACAUAUUGAAGCAAAGAGUCAGUAAGUUCUUAUGACUGUUACUGUCACCAUAAUAGAUUCCUAAACAUAGCUGAUGUUUUCUUGAUUGGUGUUGGUGAAGGUAUGCACACCAGGUUGCUGAAAUCUUUUACUUUUUCAAACUUUUAUUAUGCUCUAAGUUGUGAAGCAUCUUGGUAACGUUUUAUACUGUGUUGUUUAGGUUAGCCUUCCCCUGUUAUAUGUGUCGAGUCUACUGCUUGAUAGCUGCUUAGUUCAUUGUUGUGUUUUAUUUUUCUGAUGAGUUGCAACUGUUUACUUAUUAUUCCCCCAACAGAGAUGUAACUGUUUACUUAUUUUUGUGGGACGAGGCUGCGUCAAUCUUCAGGGGUCUCUUGAAAGCAGGGGAUAAAUCACAGUCUGUGAUGUUGGUGCCAUGGUUAAUCCAAAACUAUUUGGAGUGAACCUGUACUUAAACUCCACACUAGGGACUAGGUUCUUUUUAGACACCAACCUCCCUGAAAUAACAGAGUGUGUCAGCAGUUAAGAACAGAAUACUCAAGUAGUAACAGAGAUUCUCCGUAUUGUGAUGCUACCAUACAUACUAUAUGCAGGGUGGGAGGUGCAUCAUCCCAAGCUUUUCCUAAUGUCGACAAUCUCGAAAGGAUUAAGAGAGGAAGGUUAAGUUAAUUUACAGAUCUUUUUUUAGCAAUAAUAAUGUUUAAAUAGGUCUCAACUUUUUAAAUUUAAAUUUGUUCUCUCUUUUUGAGGUGCCAAGUAGCAAGCUGCUGAUUCUGGAACGCCUGUAAUUUUAGAAUAAUUUGCUUCUCUCUAUCUCUCUACUGUCACAGUUGGUUCUUCUCCCCUAGACACACUCUCAUUCCUUAAAGUAGAAGUUGACGUAAAUUGGAAUCUGUAUGGGGAACGCCUCUGCUUGAAGUUGAAGGAGAAGUUUCAGAUUUUGUUCUAAUUAUUAUAGAUUUUGAGAUUAUUCAAUUGUGUUCUAAUUAAGCGAAUCUAAAACCUUUUAGCAUUGUUUUAAGUUGACCAAAGAAAAACAGUCGUGUUAUCCCUUUCUGAGUUGUACAUUUUAUUAGUCUC